This 411-nucleotide ribosomal RNA is filed under the name uncultured microorganism. RNAcentral describes it as "bacterial SSU rRNA". It matches the Rfam family "Archaeal small subunit ribosomal RNA", at positions 330 to 745 of the family's 1478-position model. The record is from RNAcentral.
GCGCACAGGCGAGAAACCUCCGCAAUGCGGGAAACCGCGACGGGGGACCCCGAGUGCCGUGGCAACGCCACGGCUUUUCCGGAGUGUAAAAGCUCCGGGAAUAAGGGCUGGGCAAGGCCGGUGGCAGCCGCCGCGGUAAUACCGGCGGCCCGAGUGGUGGCCGCUAUUAUUGGGCCUAAAGCGUCCGUAGCCGGGCCCGUAAGUCCCUAGCGAAAUCCCACGGCUCAACCGUGGGGCUUGCUGGGGAUACUGCGGGUCUUGGGACCGGGAGAGGCGGGGGGUACCCCUGGGGUAGGGGUGAAAUCCUAUAAUCCCAGGGGGACCGCCAGUGGCGAAGGCGCCCCGCUGGAACGGGUCCGACGGUGAGGGACGAAGGCCAGGGGAGCAAACCGGAUUAGAUACCCGCGUAGU